AAGUCGUAACAAGGUAACCGUAGGUGAACCUGCGGUUGGAUCAUUACCAAUCCUAGACUCUUUGAGUCUUUAACACCUGUGCACUAUCAUAUUGUUUCUGGGAGAAGGUUCCGACCCUCCCACCAUUUUAUAAACCUUACUAUUUGUCUGAUAUUAUAAUAUAAUAUAAAAACAACUUUUGACAACGGAUCUCUUGGCUCUC
Molecule: unclassified non-coding RNA, 202 nt
Filed under: fungal sp.
Lineage: Eukaryota; Fungi
Description: partial contains small subunit ribosomal RNA, internal transcribed spacer 1, and 5.8S ribosomal RNA
Rfam family: Eukaryotic small subunit ribosomal RNA (bases 1-46)
Source: RNAcentral